Molecule: non-coding RNA, 3407 nt
Organism: Vicugna pacos (alpaca)
Lineage: Eukaryota; Metazoa; Chordata; Mammalia; Artiodactyla; Camelidae
Source: RefSeq, a predicted model, not a curated record
CUCCUGGUCCACCAGUUGCGGUCUUCACCGACUUGGAUGUGGAAGCGUUGGCAGCAUUCUUGGUCUCCUUGUCUUUCUCUUCCCCACGUGGAGCUUUGACCUCAGGAUUGGUGGUAGUUUUUGUUGCUUUUUCCACAGAAUCCUUCUUCUUAGGAGAAGCCACUCUGGACACCUUAUCUGAAGAUUCCUUCAAGGCCCCUGGCUUUGGUGAAGCUGCAGAGGGCUUGGACUUCCCAUCACCCUUCUUGACAGGUUACAUCAUCUAUUUUCUGGUGUGCUGAUGGCUUCCACAUUAGUAUCUCCAGCCCACUCUUAGCUCCCCGUGCUCUGGACUCCUCCAUCUGUUUGAUAACACCAAGGCACUGAGACGUGGCCUAGACUGAGCUCCUGCAUUUCCCCCACCCUGUGCCUCCUGCCUGCAAUGGAACAGGUUUGAAGGACAGUGACCAGAGAAUGUAAAGAACUUUUAACAUCUUGUUUUAUGAAGAACAGUGGGUAGAACUGAAAAGGUUUAAUCUGGAGGGGGAAAAAAAGCUGGCAGGCUCGGUGAAGAGUGUCUAAGACACUGUCAGAUGGAAAAGUGAUCACGUUCGUUUCUGGAAGAUACGAUGAGACAAGUAAGGAAAAACUUUCUAACAGAGAGACUAAAAAACGUCCCCAGGAGAUGGUGAUUUCACCAUCCUCAGAUUUCGGGGAGGGAUGGAUUUGCCAGAUGACUGUUCUAGCAAAGGGUCUGGUUUUGAAUUUGACCUCCAAUGACUAAGACUCCCCAAACCUGAAGCUUAAAAUGCACUGAUAAUUCUACUUUUCGGUCCAUUUACUUUUAGCUGUUCUUGUUUAAAAAUGUGUCAUUUUUGUUUUUUCCCAAAUUGUGUUUCUAGUUUCUCUGGAUUGACUAGCAUGUAUCAAGGACUAAAUAAGAGGAACAAAAGGAGACACCAAACGGCCUUUAAGAUCCAUCCCUUAGUUACCCUUCCAAAGCAACAAUAGGCAAUUACAGCUCUAAAGGCCUGGUAACUACUGGCCUAGUCCAGGGAUUUCCAAUCCACUUUGGCUGUGGCAUCCUUUCAUCAAAGUCCACAAUGUCAAAAAGCUAAAGGCCUAGGUGCUCUGGUUGAGACAAGAGGAAUAGAGUGAAUUCUACCCAAUGUCUUCCCCUUCUCUUCUCUUCUCCCACCAGCCCUGACACCGCUGACCUAGUCUGUAAGGGAAAACUCUAGAGAGCCUUCAGCAGGUGUUGUGCAUUACUCUCUCCAAAGCAUCUGGGUAGGGGUUACAGGGCUGGCAGAGGAGAACAGGACAGAGCCUCUGGCUUUAUGACAUCUGCCUGGUGUAAUGAAAACACAUGCCCUUCCAAACCUGCCCCAGUGAUUAGAACACUGGAGAAUCUGCCCUUGGGUGGAACACCUAUUUUCUAGUUAAGGCAAUUGCUUUUUCUUCUGUAAUUAGUGGUAAAUGCUAAUACACGCAGUCCACUGUGCUAAAAUUCUGCUUUCAUGGACUAGUAAAAAUGACUUAAGCGGCAAUAUUCACAACACUAUGCCUUAUUAAAAGAUAGAUAUUAUUUGGGGUCCUGAUGGGUGGAUUGUGAUAACCUCUGUAUUUAAAAUUCUGGCAAUGACAAACCCUUUCCUUUAUGUAUGUCCUCUGCUCUAUUUUACUGCAAACAAACUAGUGACAUGGGGGUAAAAACCAACCACUAGGAACUAACUGUGGAAGUACACAGGAAUGUAGCAGAAGCACCCGUGUGCAUAUAAAUGAGCUGAAGGUUCAGGCCUAAAGCAAGUCCAUGAACCACCUACCCGUGUUACUAGGCCACGGGGCUAUUUCCAGCUCUCUGCAGCUCUCUCCCUUGCCCGAGGCAAUAGUGUGUGUGACCUCUGAGCUACCAGACAAAUGCCCAACUCUCUCUGGGCACAACAUGAAUAGGGGGACACAAUCUUGCAGAAGAGUCUGAUGUUGCCAACUUCAGGGCAGCAGGCAGAGUGAGAAUCAGAGCACUGGCUUGGGAAUCUCAAUGCAGCUAAACAAGGUUGUACCCAGCCUUUCCUGCAUGUGGGUGCAAUGGCUACAAGGCGAAUAAGAUAUGCAGUGUGAACUCUGGCAGCCUUGGAGGGAAACAGACAAUAACCCUGCAGAAAGACAGGGCGAAAGCCCUCACUUUGAAGUGGUCAAGAUGGCUUUCUUGCUGUGGGGAGCUAGGGCUGUCUGCCUCAGGACCAGAUGACAUCACACCUUCUGAAAGCUAGGGUUUCAAACGCUAAGUAAAAUGUUCCUUUUUAGUCCCCCCAGUGAGUGAAGACUGAAACGUGGUGAUGUCAUCUGACCCGUCUUUUUACAGAAAGCCUCCAGGUGAGCCUAACGAAGCUGGGUGAUUUAUUUAUAGCUCCUGCCAGUGAGGGAAAGUACACAGAGACCUCUCUGGGAAGUGCAGGGCUAAGGAGGAGUUAAGUGCAGAAAGACAGAUGGCCCCUCCCAACACCCACGAGACUGAGAGGCCACCAUCUCGGGAAGUUCUCAGGGAGAUGGUUUUAAAUUGAUACGGUGGUAACCCGUCCUUGUCAGCUCAUCCCUCAACCUCUGCAUGUGGAAAAUCUGUCAGGCCCAGUCUGCGGAGGUGACAGCUCUGAAUUGUGGCUGUCAACUAUAAACGAAUAAGCAAAAUGAAAGAGGCACGUGAUUUUGGAAAGAUGUUUCCCAACGGGAUCAAGUCUCAAGCAGAAAUAACCGAAUUAAACAUCUCUGCUCUGAUUCUAUCCAAAGACCACUAACAUCACAGAAUUUUCAUUGCUUCACGUGCAUCAUCCUUGAAUAAACUAUUCAUUAAAAAUAUUAAAGAUCAGGCUUUGGUUCAGCAACUUUAACUAUCUUUUUCUUGGGGCAUGGCACAUCCCAUUUUCCUACAUGCCUCCCUUUCUUGGGCUGUUCAAGCAGCCCAGUUCAAACACUGGGACCAGGCAUUAAAAGUAUGAGAAAUCAGAAAUAAUUAGACCAGAAAAAGUAAGCACGUGUACUGAAAGAGAUUAAGGCAGUUAAAUCCUAACCCAAAUCCAAGAGAUCUUGGGAGUAUUCUUUCAGACAACAGGAAACCUGGGCUUUCUUUUCGACUUCAAGUUUCUCCAGCAUCUUUGCCAUCUGUAAAUUGCUGGCUGUUCCAACCCCUCCUCCAUCUGUGUCUCGGGCACAUUCAGAAUGGUUCCAAUUAAUUACAGAUGAGUGCUUGAAACCCUCCUGGUGCUGAGCCACAGAACCAUGGUACGCUGGGUCACGCAGUUGUGCUAUUUCAGUGUGACAGACCCUCCCCUUCUCCGGGCUCCCGCGAGCACUUUCAAAGAGGAGCCUAAGGCCACAACAAUAACCAAGCAACUGUGAGGCUUGAAUACUACCAGACAGAGCUUACCUCUUGA